AUUGAACGCUGGCGGCAUGCCUUACACAUGCAAGUCGAACGGCAGCGCGGGAGCAAUCCUGGCGGCGAGUGGCGAACGGGUGAGUAGUGCAUCGGAACGUGCCCAGUUGUGGGGGAUAGCCCGGCGAAAGCCGGAUUAAUACCGCAUGAGACCUGAGGGUGAAAGCGGGGGAUCGAAAGACCUCGCGCGACUGGAGCGGCCGAUGUCAGAGUAGGUGGUUGGUGGGGUAAGGGCCUACCAAGCCUGCGAUCUGUAGCUGGUCUGAGAGGACGACCAGCCACACUGGGACUGUGACACGGCCCAGACUCCUACGGGAGGCAGCAGUGGGGAAUGGUGGACAAUGGGCGCAAGCCUGAUCCAGCCAUGCCGCGUGCGGGAAGAAGGCCUUCGGGUUGUAAACCGCUUUUGUCGGGGAAGAAACGGCCUGGGCUAAUACCUUGGGCUAAUGACGGUACCCGAAGAAUAAGCACCGGCUAACUACGUGCCAGCCGCCGCAGUAA
RNAcentral lists this ribosomal RNA (500 nucleotides) under uncultured bacterium. Its description in RNAcentral is "partial 16S ribosomal RNA". It matches the Rfam family "Bacterial small subunit ribosomal RNA", at positions 28 to 523 of the family's 1533-position model. The record is from RNAcentral.